UACGAAGGGGGCUAGCGUUGCUCGGAAUCACUGGGCGUAAAGGGCGCGUAGGCGGCCUGCUAAGUCGAACGUGAAAUCCCCGGGCUCAACCUGGGAAUUGCAUUCGAGACUGAAUAGCUAGAAUGCGGAAGAGGGAAGCGGAAUUUCCGGUGUAGCGGUGAAAUGCGUAGAUAUCGGAAGGAACAUCAGUGGCGAAAGCAGCUUCCUGGUCCAGCAUUGACGCUCAGGUUCGAAAGCGCGGGGAGCAAGCAGG
RNAcentral lists this ribosomal RNA (253 nucleotides) under uncultured bacterium. RNAcentral's name for it is "partial 16S ribosomal RNA". It matches the Rfam family "Bacterial small subunit ribosomal RNA", at positions 524 to 776 of the family's 1533-position model. The record is from RNAcentral.